UACGUAGGCAGCGAGCGUUGUUCGGAGUUACUGGGCGUAAAGGGUGUGUAGGCGGCUUUUUAAGUUUGGUGUGAAAUCUCCCGGCUUAACCGGGAGGGUGCGCCGAAUACUGAGAGGCUAGAGUGCGGGAGAGGAGAGUGGAAUUCCUGGUGUAGCGGUGAAAUGCGUAGAUAUCAGGAGGAACACCGGUGGUGUAGACGGCUCUCUGGACCGUAACUGACGCUGAGACACGAAAGCGUGGGUAGCAAACAGG
Molecule: ribosomal RNA, 253 nt
Filed under: uncultured bacterium
Lineage: Bacteria
Description: partial 16S ribosomal RNA
Rfam family: Bacterial small subunit ribosomal RNA
Source: RNAcentral